Molecule: long non-coding RNA, 2305 nt
Organism: Bos taurus (domestic cattle)
Lineage: Eukaryota; Metazoa; Chordata; Mammalia; Artiodactyla; Bovidae
Source: Ensembl
AAGAAAGAGAAGACUUAGCAACUAAACAAAAUUGCACUGGCCAGGUCUUUCUAGCACAGUGCUGAAUGGAAGCAGUGAGAGUGGGCACCCUGUCUUAUUCCUGGUCGCAGUGGGAAAGCUUUGAACAUCUCACCAUAAGAUAAUCCUGGCCUCGUAAAAUGAACUGGAGUGUUCGGCUCUUCAGUUUUUUCAACUACCCAACAAAUUGAACUUGACUCUGAAAUCUACCUGAAACAAACUGCCUGGAGUACUUUGAGAAGCAAGUGGACUUAGUUUGGCACCUAAGAAAUUUGAAGUAGUAAUAAUAACAUGAUAAGUAGAUAAAUGGUUACUGGGUACAUGGUUUGGCAUCUAAGAAAAUUGAAAUAAUAUGAUAACAGAAAUAAUAAUUUGUUCAGUUGCUAAGUUGUGUUCGACUCUUUGCAACCGCACAGACCAGUAGCCCACCAGAUGUGUCCAUGGGAUUCUCCAGGCAAGAUUACUGGAGUGGGUUGCAUAUCUUCUAGGAGAUUUUCCUGACCCAGGGAUCAAAGCUGCAUCUCCUGCUUCCCCUGCAUUGCAGGCAAAUUUUUCACUGCUGAGCCACUGGGGAAGCCCAUAUAAUAGCUUAUAAUAAGUAAAUAAAUGGUUACUAGCUAUAAGCUAGAACUGCAGUAACACCUAUCCGCCUCAUCUCAUGAAUUUCUCAAGAAACACUCAAUAACCCAAGAAAAUGAGCACAGGCCCACACAGAUGAGACAGUGUGAGGACAAGCAGGAAGCUGACUGGGGUGAGUGGAUGUUGUUGUUCAGUCGCUAAGUCAUGUCCACCUCUUUGUGACCCUGUGAACUGCAGCACGCCAGGCUUCCCUGUCCUUCACCAACUCCCAGGGUCACUUUCAGGACUGGCGUGCUGCAGCUUGUGAGGUGAGGGGAUGGGGGUUUGGUAAACCAAACUGCUGCCAAGAGCAUGAUUGCAGAAAACACAAGCAGCUGAUGUGAAGGAGUGACAGUAUUCAAGCACCGCUCAAGUAGGGAAGCAAGUGGUGCGUGGCGGGCUGGUGUCUUGGAUAAUACGGGAAGCGUGGCUCGCUGGGGAUGUGGGUGGGUGAGCGGCAGCUGGGAUGGAGUGGAGUGGCGUCACUGCAGAAGGCCAAAUAAUUGCCUAAGAACUUCCGGCGCUUUCCUCCGAGUCCUCAGAGUGCUGACGGAAACAAGAAGUAUCAGGCCACGUGAGCCCAGGAAGAUUGCCUUGCCUUUCUGGCUCUCAGACCAAACAAGGAGAAGGCCGAACUGUCUGAGGUCCCGAGCAGUAUUAACUCUCUGACUGCACUGUGCUUCAGCCAUAAACCAUCAGACUGUUUUUUCAGGGAGAGGUGCCUGAGCAUGAUUGCAGAAAACACCUCCAGGGGCCAGGGGGCAGGGUGGCCAGUGACCACAGGUGUGAGCGUUACUCUGGGCUGUAAGCAAAAUGAAAAUGGGCUGGUGAUUCACUAGCACAUUCAGUGACCCGCCCCUCUCUGGGGAGACCAGGAGCACCCUACCCCAUUUGCCGAGGCCUAGACAGCCAGCCCCUGGCCUGUGCCUCUGUGUGUGUGAUCUUUCCACAGCUUUUUUCUCUUCUGUAUUGUGGCAAGAUACAUACCUUGUUCAUUUUCACGCUGUAAACAGUUCUGCUAUGUGACCAUAUUACAAUUUUCUUAUCUCUUCUGCAGUUGGUAAAAUGUAGGCUAUCUCUGCAUAUAUUUUUGUUGUUAUUACAAAUAAUAUGGCUCUGAACACCCUUAUACAUGUGUAUAUAUUAAUAUGCUGGGUUGUAGGAGUGGAGUUACUGAGAUUUAAAAUGAUUUUCCAACGUGAUGGCAAUAAUUUACAUUCUUACCAGCAGUGGGUGAAAAUACCCUUAUCACCAGACUUCUUAAUUUUUGUCAACCUGUGGGGUCUUAUUUGAGUUUUUUAAUUUCUAGUGAGGUUGAACUUUUCAUUUGUUUUUCCUCUUCACUGAUUUGCCUAUUCAUAUUUUUGCCAAUUUUAAACAUUAGGUUUAUAUUUUUUACUAUGAAAUCUAUAGUAACUGUAUCCUGAACACUAAUAUUAUAUGGAUAAAUGUUCAUUCUGUGGCCUAUUUGGUUUGUCUUUUGAGAAAUUCAAGUGUUCAUUUUAACAUAAUUAUGUGGACCAGCCUUUUCCUCUUUCCCAAGGAGAAUGCACGCUGUCCAUCGCGAUUCUAAUCCUCUUAAAGACCUCCCCCAGCCCAAGCCUGGAUCCCCACCUCGUGGUGAGGGGACCUGGGCAUCCAUCCGUGUUCUGGGCCCUCCAGUUGCCUU